This is an RNA transcript of Cavia porcellus (domestic guinea pig), 5060 nucleotides long. It is a transcript of the gene named zinc finger protein 124-like, with no coding region annotated. The transcript is spliced from 5 exons. The record is from RefSeq and is a predicted model, not a curated record. Lineage: Eukaryota; Metazoa; Chordata; Mammalia; Rodentia; Caviidae.
GUUUAUUUUUGACUCAGAAGGAGGAAAGUAGAGCAGCAGUCAAUCAGUGAUGAAGAGGCGGGCUACAUGAAAUGUCCAAUCAGGCGAGCCGUGGGAGGAGGUCUCUUGGGUCUCUUCCGGUGUGUAGACAUUGUUUACCUGUUUGGAAUACAAAACUGGGAGGAGAAUGCUUGCUGGAUCUCAUUUACUGGUUUCGAUGUCCUGUGGCCUGACUAGCAAAGAACCUGGGAGACCCUCUAGCCACGGAAUGGAGGUGGUGACCCUUGAGGAUGUGGUUGUGAACUUCAGCAAUGAGGAGUGGACUUUGCUGAGUCCAUCCCAAAAGAACCUCUACAGAGAUGUGAUGGGCGAAACCUUUAGGAACAUGACUGCAAUAGGAGGACUUGGGGAUAUGCAGGAGGCUGAAAAACAAUGCAAGAUUUACUGGAGAUACUUAAGAAAUGAAAAGCUAGAGAAAUCCUAUGGACAUACAUCUUGGAGUCAGUGUAAAGAAGUAUUCCUUUGUACUGCAGAAGGUAAUGUGAAUGUGAAAGAAACAGAAACACACCACAAUGUUCAGAUCCAUGGAAAAUAUUGCAGUGGAGAGAAACCCUAUGUAUGUCAGCAAUGUGGAAAAGGGUUCACCAAAUCUGGACAUUGUAAGCAACAUGAAAGAAUUCACACACAAGAGAAACCAUAUGUAUGUGAGCAAUGUGGGAAAGCUUUUAACACAUGUGCAUAUUGUAAGGCACAUGAAAUAAUUCACACUGGAGUGAAACCAUAUGUAUGUAAGCAAUGUGGGAAAGCUUUUAACACACAGGCAGAUUGUAAAAAACAUGAAAGAAUUCACACUGGAGAAAAACCCUAUGUAUGUAAGCAAUGUGGGAAAGAUUUUACCACACCGUGAGAUUUUAAGAAACAUGAAAGAAUUCACACUGGAGAGCAACACUAUGUGUAAGCAAUGUGGGAAAGGUUUUACCAUCUCUGGACAUUGUAAGCAACAUGAAAGAAUUCACACUGGCGAGAAACCCUAUAUAUGUAAGCAAUGUGGGAAAGCUUUUGCCCAACAUGGACAUUGUAAGCAACAUGAAAGAAUUCACAAUGGAGAGAGACCAUAUGUAUAAGCAAUGUGGGAAAGUUUUUACCCUACAUGGACAUUGUAAACAACAUGAAAGUUCACACUCAAGAUAAAACCAGUGUAUAUAAGCAUCAUGAGAAUGGUUUGAGCACACGUCCUUAUUGCAUAAUGCAUGAAAAUCUUCACACUGGGCAGAAAACUUAUAUAUGUAAGGAAUGUGCAAAAGGUUUCAGCAGAAAUGCUCAUUGUCCAAUACAUUAUAAAAUUUACACUGUUGAGAAAGCCUGUGCAUGUGAAGAAUGUGGAAAAGCUUUCACCACACAUGGAUACUGUAAAAUACAUCAAUUACUUCACACUGUUGAGAAACCCUAUGUAUAUAACAACGUGGCAGAGGUUUUACCGCAUACAGUCACUGCAAAACAGAUGAAAGAAUUCACACUGGGAAGAACCACUGGCUAUAUAAGCAAGUGGAGACACUUUCAGCAGCCAGAUUGUAAGUGAAAUACAUGAAGAAACUCACACAAGAGAUAAAUCCUAUGUGCUAUGGGAAUACUCUCAGCACACAUGAUCAUUGUUACAUAUCUGAAAGAGCUCACUGGGCAGAGGUCCUAUGUGGAUUAACAAUGUGAGAAAUAUGGCAAUCCAUGUUUGUUGUUAAAUACAUAGAAAAAGCAUCAGUCUUCAGACAAUUUAGAUCUAAGUUUACUUUAAAAAUCCCAAGGAGACCUGAAGAAAUAACCAAUACAGAAGUUUGAUGUCAAUAUUUCUUCACAAAUUUUCCAGAAAUGACAAAUCUGUGGUGGAGCUCUACUCGAGUGCACAUGUUGUAUGGUUUUCAGUUAACCACUUGUACCUCUUUAGAUUUUUUAAAAUGUCUUUGUGCUUCAACAUGGCAUCUUGUAAUUAAGCAUGGUAAACUGAAAUGGGUGUUAACUUUCAAGUAUGGAUAGUGUCUAUGUACUUAAUGUUUUGUCUUUAAAAUUGAAUUUUUAUAUUUUGUGGUGAAUUGUAAUGUUUAUUUAAAGAGAAAAAACAGCAAAAAUAUAGAAAUAAUACAGAAUUUCAGAAAAAUAAGAAAUCACUAGUUGAUUAGUUACAUAUUUUCAUCUCAGAAGUAGUUGUUCAAGUUACAAAAUAAAGCAUACAAAGUGCUAUUCAAAUAAUGACACUGUGAACAGUUCACCUCAAUGAUCCAACAAAGACUUAUUAAUAUGCUUACUGUCCUACAAACUUGUUUUUUUUUUCUUUUCUUAAAAAGGGUAAGAUUAAACAUGACAAAACAGAACAGAAAAGUUCAUAAGAAAGCAAGUUAAGGAAACACAGAUUUCAAAGCACGUCCCCUGGAGAUGUUCACUGUCUAUCUUACUGUCUCUAGUUUUUCUUCCAAAUAGUUGUUCCCAUUUAGAAUGCAUUGAAUAUAUACUGAAUAUUAUAGAACUAAUCAAAUAAUUACAGGAUGAUGCAGCCUUUUUCUAUCUUCAAGACAGAUUUUGGGGAUGUCGAUAAUGACUACCAUAAUGUCUCUCAUUCUCUUCAUAGUAGCUGUCUUUAUCUUUAUGUAUGCUGAUAUUCAAGAUAAGAGACUAGACUAAUAUCACUCUGAACAGUGAAUAAUAGCCUUCUGAGAAGGAGAAAGGUGAGGAAUUGCCUAAAAAAGAAGGCAGAGGGCAUUGUAAAAAGUGUAUCAGGAUGUAAAAGCUACAGUAGUCUUAUUGCUCCGGUUAGUUUGAUUAUAUUUUGUUCCAGCCUGUCUACUCAUAUUAGAUUUGAGGGCACAGAGAGAUAACCCAAAAAUAGCAGGCUAUACCAUGGUAACUAUCCUUAAUUACCUGUUAACUUAAACUGAAACCCUGUAUUACUUACAUUGUCUUCUAUGACUGAUCUUAUUUGAAGCUGGUUUGUUUGAAUGCUAUUUGGCCUUGACCGAUUUUAUUCACAUUUGGUAUGCUUGCUGGUAUCAAGUCCAAGAGUAGAUCCAACUAAUCUGAAGGUGACAGGAUGUAAAAGAUGUAUUUUGGGGGGCUGGGGAUUUAGCUCAGUGGCUUAAGAACCUACCUGGCAAAUGUGAGGUCAUGAGUUUGAUCUCCAGUAACAAAAAAUAAAUUAAUAAAAGAUAUCCAUUCCAUUUAUGUUUUUAUUUAAAGAGAAAAAAGAAAGGAAAUAAAAAACAAGCAGAAAACAUGUAUAAAUAAUACAGAAUUUCAAGAGAAAUAAUACAGUAAGAAAUCACUAGUUAAUAGGUUACAUAUUUUCAUCUUAGAAACAGUUGUCCAAAUUAUACAAUUAAAGUGUAUAAAGUGGACAUUCAUACAGUGAGUUUGCAGACAGUUCCAUUCAAUGAUCCAACAAAAGCUCAGUAAUAUGGCUUGCCAUCCUACACACACAAACAUGCAGUUAUAUCCCUGAUACCACCUUCCUUUCCUCUCUUUUUUACAAUAAAAAUUACACUUUUUGUGUUUUUUACCCCCACAGUUCUAAUUACUUUUUUUGAAGAGAAUAAAACCUAACAUGACUAAACAAAACAGAUUCAGUUAGAACAGAAGGAUAGGCAUAGUACAUGAUGCAAAAAUAGAAUAUCAGGUGAUGAAAAAUGGUUACCAUUGUGCCUCUUGCUAUUUUUAAGAAGAGUUGCCUAUCUCAUCAGGUAUAAUAGAAUUGAUCAAAAUGGUGCAGAACAAGACCAAUAAAACCUACACUGAGAACUUACAGGAUUUCAAAAGAAGAUAAUAGUCAAACCAUAAUGGGCAUGAUAGUAAAUCUUAUUGCCUUCAAAGUGGUUGCCUAUACCCUCAAACUUGAUACUAUCAAACAAUAUAGAAUACAGUAAAAUCAGACAGAAAAAGAUGGGGAGAGCAAUAGUGGGGUUCAAAACAGAUUAAUAGGAAAACAAAAAAAAGUUACUAUAAUAUAUUCCACAAUUUUUUAAAUUUAGUUUUCCCUUAAUUGAAAAAAGUUAAGUAAACAGAUUAAUAUUUGAAAAAGAGUGGAGAUUGAGAUAAAAGAGGACAUUGUGAUAGAACAACACAGGUCAGAACUGAACAAUUUAAACAUUAUUGUGUUUCAGCCCCAAAUAAUCUAACAUAAUAUUAGUCACCAUAGUGCCUCUUUCCUUGAAUUAUUUGAGUAUAACUUCGUACACUGUAGCAUCAAGCAUAUUAAGACAGUGUGAAGCCAUUCAAGAGAAUGAAAGAAUUACAGAGUAUUUAGAACCAGUUAACAGAAAAUGAACAAUGGUUUCUAUAUUAUUUCUUUGCCCAUAAAAUUUUGUUUAUACUAUCGCAUAUAGUAAAAUACAGUAAGAUACAACAUGUUAAAACCAGUGGAAACAGAUGUACAACAGCUUGAUGGGAUUUCAAAACAAGAUGAUAUUAAAUCAGCACUAGCUUUUAUGAUGUGUUGUUUUCUACAGAAUAGCUAUUCGUACUAUAACUGAUACUAAAAUCGAACAACCCACGUUAAAACCAUUGCACUUAAUGAGUGAAAACAUUAUAUGGAUUCAAACCAAUAUGAUUGGGAAUCAUGAUUACUAUGUACUUCUAUGUAUUAUCAUUUCUUACACUAGGGAAAAUAUUUGGUAUUUAUACAUGUGAGUUUGAUUUAUUUCACUCAUCAGUAUGGUCUCAAGCUGCAUCCAUUUACUUAUAUCUCAAUGUGAUCAUUCUUUAUAGCUGAGUAGUACUCCAUUGUAUAAAAAUACCACAACUUUUAAUCCAUUUCUCAGUUGAUGGACACUUAGGUUGUUUCCAAGAUCUGGCUAUUACAAAUUGUGCUGCUAUACACAUGGGGGCACAUAUAUCACUGUGGUAUGAUGCUUUUAGUUCUUGUGGGAAUAUGCUUAGAAAUGGAAUAGCUGGUUCAAAAGGUACUUCCAAUCCCAGCUUUCUGAAUAAUCUCCAGACUGACCUCGACAAUGGUUGCACUAGUCUACACUCCCACCAACAGUGCAGGAGAGUUCCUUUUACCCCACAGCCUCUCCAGCAUUUGUUGUUGUUGGUUUUCUUGA